CGGGGGGCUGCAGUGGGGAAUAUUGCACAAUGGGCGCAAGCCUGAUGCAGCAACGCCGCGUGAGGGACGACGGCCUUCGGGUUGUAAACCUCUUUUAGUAGGGAAGAAGCGAAAGUGACGGUACCUGCAGAAAAAGCACCGGCUAACUACGUGCCAGCAGCCGCGGUAAUACGUAGGGUGCAAGCGUUAUCCGGAAUUAUUGGGCGUAAAGAGCUCGUAGGCGGUUUGUCACGUCUGCUGUGAAAACUGGAGGCUCAACCUCCAGCCUGCAGUGGGUACGGGCAGACUAGAGUGCGGUAGGGGAGAUUGGAAUUCCUGGUGUAGCGGUGGAAUGCGCAGAUAUCAGGAGGAACACCGAUGGCGAAGGCAGAUCUCUGGGCCGUAACUGACGCUGAGGAGCGAAAGCAUGGGGAGCGAACAGGAUUAGAUACCCCGGUAGUC
RNAcentral lists this ribosomal RNA (441 nucleotides) under uncultured Microbacteriaceae bacterium. RNAcentral describes it as "bacterial SSU rRNA". It matches the Rfam family "Bacterial small subunit ribosomal RNA", at positions 342 to 795 of the family's 1533-position model. Lineage: Bacteria; Bacillati; Actinomycetota; Actinomycetes; Micrococcales; Microbacteriaceae. The record is from RNAcentral.